This 445-nucleotide ribosomal RNA is filed under the name uncultured bacterium. RNAcentral's name for it is "partial 16S ribosomal RNA". It matches the Rfam family "Bacterial small subunit ribosomal RNA", at positions 354 to 796 of the family's 1533-position model. The record is from RNAcentral.
GUGAGGAAUAUUGGUCAAUGGGCGAAAGCCUGAACCAGCCAUGUCGCGUGAAGGAUGAAGGUCCUAUGGAUUGUAAACUUCUUUUGCAGGAGGGUAAAGUGAGCUACGUGUAGUUCAUUGCAAGUACCCUGCGAAUAAGCAUCGGCUAACUCCGUGCCAGCAGCCGCGGUAAUACGGAGGAUGCGAGCGUUAUCCGGAUUUAUUGGGUUUAAAGGGUGCGUAGGCGGACUAAUUAGUCAGCGGCGAAAUUUUGCGGCUCAACCUGAAAACUGCUGUUGAAACUGUUAGUCUUGAGUGCGGUAGAGGUAGGCGGAAUGUGUGGUGUAGCGGUGAAAUGCUUAGAUAUCACACAGAACACCGAUUGCGUAGGCAGAUUACUGGAGCGCAACUGACGCUGAGGCACGAAAGCGUGGGGAUCGAACAGGAUUAGAAACCCCUGUAGUCC